This 301-nucleotide ribosomal RNA is filed under the name uncultured bacterium. RNAcentral's name for it is "partial 16S ribosomal RNA". It matches the Rfam family "Bacterial small subunit ribosomal RNA", at positions 509 to 808 of the family's 1533-position model. The record is from RNAcentral.
CAGUAGCCGCGGUAAUACGUAUGUCACGAGCGUUAUCCGGAUUUAUUGGGCGUAAAGCGCGUCUAGGUGGUUAUAUAAGUCCGAUGUGAAAAUGCAGGGCUCAACUCUGUAUUGCGUUGGAAACUGUAUAACUAGAGUACUGGAGAGGUAAGCGGAACUACAAGUGUAGAGGUGAAAUUCGUAGAUAUUUGUAGGAAUGCCGAUGGGGAAGCCAGCUUACUGGACAGAUACUGACGCUGAAGCGCGAAAGCGUGGGUAGCAAACAGGAUUAGAUACCCGCGUAGUCCCUGUCUCUUAUACA